Camellia sinensis is the source of this 399-nucleotide non-coding RNA. Lineage: Eukaryota; Viridiplantae; Streptophyta; Magnoliopsida; Ericales; Theaceae. The record is from RefSeq and is a predicted model, not a curated record.
AUCGUCUUCUCCUUCUCUCUCUACAGCUGCUGCCUCUUGUGCUUCUUCGCGUGCUCAUUCGUCACCGUCUAUAACCAAUCAGUGCCGAUCUUUCAGCUUCUCCUCCGUGUUUCGUUCUGUUCCGCGGUGGAAUAACGGCGUCGAUUGGAAGUCUCCGGCAACUCUGACUUUGAGCGAAGGAUCGCCACCAUGGCAUCCGAGCAUGCUUUCAAAGGAAUAUUGACUGGUCUUCUCAAGCCAGGACGUGGCUAGUUUGGAAAAUUCUAGAACUUGCCCGCUCUGAAUGAUCCAAGGAUCGAUAUGCUGCCAUACUCUAUUAGGAUCCUUCUUGAAUCAGCAAUUCGUAAUUGUGACAACUUCCAAGUCACUAAGGAAGAUGUUGAGAAGAUAAUUGAUUGG